This 492-nucleotide ribosomal RNA is filed under the name uncultured bacterium. RNAcentral describes it as "partial 16S ribosomal RNA". It matches the Rfam family "Bacterial small subunit ribosomal RNA", at positions 29 to 507 of the family's 1533-position model. The record is from RNAcentral.
AGUGAACGCUGGCGGUAGGCCUAACACAUGCAAGUCGAACGGCAGCACAGUAAGAGCUUGCUCUUACGGGUGGCGAGUGGCGGACGGGUGCGGAAUACAUCGGAAUUUACUUUUUCGUGGGGGAUAACGUAGGGAAACUUACGCUAAUACCGCAUACGACCUACGGGUGAAAGCAGGGGAUCUUCGGACCUUGCGCGAUUGAAUGAGCCGAUGUCGGAUUAGCUAGUUGGCGGGGUAAAGGCCCACCAAGGCGACGAUCCGUAGCUGGUCUGAGAGGAUGAUCAGCCACACUGGAACUGAGACACGGUCCAGACUCCUACGGGAGGCAGCAGUGGGGAAUAUUGGACAAUGGGCGCAAGCCUGAUCCAGCCAUACCGCGUGGGUGAAGAAGGCCUUCGGGUUGUAAAGCCCUUUUGUUGGGAAAGAAGAGCAGCAGGUUAAUACCCCGCUGUUCUGACGGUACCCAAAGAAUAAGCACCGGCUAACUUCGUG